AUAUCUCUCUGUACGGGAAGGAUGAGAAGCUUCGACUAAGGUUCGAUUCGAGCGCAGCGAGAAAGCGUUGCCGCAGGCAACGACCCGAAGGGCGAAGCGCGCAGCGCUGAGUCAUCCUUCCCCCAC
This 126-nucleotide small RNA is filed under the name Salmonella enterica. RNAcentral describes it as "partial RtT sRNA". It matches the Rfam family "RtT RNA". Rfam says of the family: This family represents a bacterial cis-regulatory element known as RtT RNA. The exact function of RtT is unknown although it is thought that it may be involved in changing the cellular response in relation to amino acid starvation. The record is from RNAcentral. Lineage: Bacteria; Pseudomonadati; Pseudomonadota; Gammaproteobacteria; Enterobacterales; Enterobacteriaceae.